This is a non-coding RNA of Myotis myotis, 148 nucleotides long. The record is from RefSeq and is a predicted model, not a curated record. NCBI's taxonomy places the organism in Eukaryota, Metazoa, Chordata, Mammalia, Chiroptera, Vespertilionidae.
GUGUUUCUCUCUCACAUCAAAGUUUCUCUCUCCCCUCUCCAUCCCUUUCUUUUAAAAAAUCAAUAAAAUCACACACAUCAAAACAUAUGGUUCCUGCUGACAGGGUCUGUAUAGUUAUCAGAUUUCCUGUGCGAUGGCUCCAUACAUG